AUCUACAAUUGUUUUACUGUAGUGGAGCAGGCGUAUCUACAAUUGUCUUACUGUAGUGGAGCAGUGGAGCAGGUGGGUGGUGGAGCAGGUGGGUCUACAAUUGUCUUACUGUAGUGGAGCAGGUGGAUCUACAAUUGUCUUACUGUGGUGGAGCAGGUGGAUCUACAAUUGUCUUACUGUGGUGGAGCAGGUAGAUCUACAAUUGUCUUACUGUGGUGGAGCAGGUAGAUCUACAACUGUCUUACUGUGGUGGAGCAGGUGGAUCUACAAUUGUCUUACUGUGGUGGAGCAGGUGGGUCUACAAUUGUCUUACUGUAGUGGAGCAGGUGGAUCUACAAUUGUCUUACUGUGGUGGAGCAGGUGGAUCUACAAUUGUCUUACUGUGGUGGAGCAGGUGGAUCUACAAUUGUCUUACUGUGGUGGAGCAGGUGGAUCUACAAUUGUCUUACUGUGGUGGAGCAGGUAGAUCUACAACUGUCUUACUGUAGUGGAGCAGGUGGAUCUACAAUUGUCUUACUGUAGUGGAGCAGGUGGGUCUACAAUUGUCUUACUGUAGUGGAGCAGGUGGAUCUACAAUUGUCUUACUGUGGUGGAGCAGGUGGAUCUACAAUUGUCUUACUGUAGUGGAGCAGGUGGGUCUACAAUUGUCUUACUGUAGUGGAGCAGGUGGAUCUACAAUUGUCUUACUGUGGUGGAGCAGGUGGAUCUACAAUUGUCUU
Molecule: long non-coding RNA, 719 nt
Organism: Apodemus sylvaticus (European woodmouse)
Lineage: Eukaryota; Metazoa; Chordata; Mammalia; Rodentia; Muridae
Exons: 7
Source: RefSeq, a predicted model, not a curated record